UUAGGAAUCUUCCACAAUGGGCGAAAGCCUGAUGGAGCGACGCCGCGUGAGGGAUGAAGGCCUUAGGGUUGUAAACCUCUAAAGGAGGGACGAUAAUGACGGUACCUCUUGAAUAGCACCGGCUAACUCCGUGCCAGCAGCCGCGGUAAUACGGAGGGUGCAAGCGUUAUCCGGAAUCACUGGGCGUAAAGGGCGCGUAGGCGGUCUGUUAAGUCCGAUGUUAAAUCCCGGGGCUCAACCCCGGAUAAGCGUUGGAUACUGGCAGGCUAGACGGUUGGAGAGGCGAGUGGAAUUACCAGUGUAGCGGUGGAAUGCGUAGAUACUGGUAGGAACACCCAUGGCGAAGGCAGCUCGCUGGACAACACGUGACGUUGAGGCGCGAAAGUGUGGGGAGCAAACC
This 400-nucleotide ribosomal RNA is filed under the name uncultured bacterium. Its description in RNAcentral is "bacterial SSU rRNA". It matches the Rfam family "Bacterial small subunit ribosomal RNA", at positions 355 to 774 of the family's 1533-position model. The record is from RNAcentral.